This 257-nucleotide ribosomal RNA is filed under the name uncultured bacterium. Its description in RNAcentral is "partial 16S ribosomal RNA". It matches the Rfam family "Bacterial small subunit ribosomal RNA", at positions 524 to 776 of the family's 1533-position model. The record is from RNAcentral.
UACGAAGGGAGCGAGCGUUGUUCGGAAUCACUGGGCGUAAAGCGUGCGUAGGCGGUUUUGUAAGUAAAGAAGUGAAAGCCUGGGGCUUAACCUCAGAAUUUGCUUUUUUAGACUGCAAAACUGGAGUACUGGAGAGGUUAGUGGAAUUCCGAGUGUUAGAGGUGAAAUUCGCAGAUAUUCGGAGGAACACCAGUGGCGAAGGCGACUAACUGGACAGUAACUGACGCUGAGGCACGAAAGCGUGGGGAUCAAACAGG